RNAcentral lists this unclassified non-coding RNA (310 nucleotides) under uncultured Ophiostomataceae. Its description in RNAcentral is "sequence contains ITS1". The stretch from base 1 to 105 matches the Rfam family "5.8S ribosomal RNA", at positions 50 to 154 of the family's 154-position model. The record is from RNAcentral. Lineage: Eukaryota; Fungi; Ascomycota; Sordariomycetes; Ophiostomatales.
GAAAUGCGAAAAGCAAUGCGAAUUGCAGAAUUCCGCGAGUCAUCAGAUCUUCGAACGCAUCUGGCGCCGAAGGGAUAUCCCUUCGGCAUGUUUGCUUCAGUGUGUUAUUGAGACUCAUAUAUCUCAUUGUGAUUGACAGACUCAACUUCGGUUGAUGAUGUCUCUCAUGAAAUUAGUGCUGUGCGAACCGCACUGAUGCAGUAGUCAGUCCUCGUGAUUGAUACUCAUCGGUCGGGAUCGGUAUAACAGUACCAAUCUUUCAAUCAUCAUACACGCAUCUGAGGCAAGCAAGAUAACCCGCUGAACUUAA